CCUGGCCUCAAGUCUUGGCAUCCUGGCCUCCUGCACUGACACCCUAAAGUGCCAGGAUUACAAACAUGAGCUAUCAUGCCCAGCCCAUAUAUGCUUUCAUGUAAUCUUAACCACCACCCAGUAUAGUAGAACUUAUUUAAAUUUUAUAGCCAGAGAAACAGAAACUCAGAAAGCUUAAAUUAUUUUCCCAAGACCAUAGUAAGUACCAGAGCUAGAAGUUGAACUCAGAAUAGGUGUCUCCGAAGCCUUUUCUUAUUUCAGUAUAGUAAAUGAUAAUGGUUUAUUUAUUUAACAGCUGCUAAGCUCUUUGGAAGCUAUUAGUAUAGGAAAAAAGACAAUGUUAACAAUAGAGAACAUAUGUAUGUGAUUUUGGUGAGUGGAGAUGAUGAAGAAGAUGGAGGUGAUGAGUGCAUGCAAGAUGUGUGAAACACCGUCUUUGCCGAAUUAAGCCUGGCAAGUUCUGAUGCUGGGACCUCCAAGAUUAAGGCACUGGCAGAUUUGGUAUCUGCCCCAACAUUAUGGUUGCUCAGCUUCUUCAGAAAGCCACUCAUGGAGAAGUACAAACCACAGUUAGAAAGUUGAGAGAUUUCAAUGAGAAGCGCAGGACCUUUAAAUCACAUGGUUACCUUCAGAAUGCACUCACCAAUUGGUACAGUUAUGAAACAUCUAGAAGUCAUCCAUUCUUUUAUAGACUUCCUCUCCUGACAUGUCUACUUGCUAUGAAACAGCUGUUUAGUCACGUUGCCAAGAAGAAAAGAAGACAGAAUGCUUCUAGAUAAAGAAAUACUAUUCCUAUGUCAACUUUCUAUGCAAAGUGUGGACUGUGGACCAGCAACAUGUGCAUUGCCUGGCAGCUUGUUGGAAAUGCAGAAUCUGAAGCUCUUCCUUAGACCUACUAAACAGACUUCACUUUAACAAUAUAUCUGGGCAAGUCAUAUAGUCAUUAAAAUUUGAGAA
Molecule: long non-coding RNA, 957 nt
Organism: Piliocolobus tephrosceles (Ugandan red Colobus)
Lineage: Eukaryota; Metazoa; Chordata; Mammalia; Primates; Cercopithecidae
Exons: 4
Source: RefSeq, a predicted model, not a curated record